AGUACUUAAUACGACGGAGUUCUAUCGUGUCUAAAGAACAAUCAUAUCAGGUAUGCAUUAAAAUAUGUCUAAUACUGCAUGUCACAUUGGUAUCGUCAAUUGACUAUUUGGAAUACAUUUCAUAAGAAUAAGUGCCCUAAACACACUUAUACUUAUACUGGAAUGUUCUAGUGUCUACGUCACCUUCAAGGUUGUUUACAGGGGACACUAUCAGACUCAACAUCUUAUUUUUCAAGACAUCAAAUCAAAUUUCAGAAUUAUCAAGUAUAUUUCACACCAAGGAGAGAAGUGAAUAUCAAAUUUUGAUUCUUCAUAUUAAGUCAAUUAAAUCACAAAUAUGUAAAUGGACAUGUGAGAUACAAGUUCAUGAGACAACAAUCCAAUGCGACAAAAAAAAAAAGAACAAAAUACUGUAACAUAUUGUGGUGACCACAGAUUACAGUCUUUACAAGCC
RNAcentral lists this long non-coding RNA (454 nucleotides) under Mytilus galloprovincialis (Mediterranean mussel). The record is from RNAcentral. Lineage: Eukaryota; Metazoa; Mollusca; Bivalvia; Mytilida; Mytilidae.